AGAACGAACGCUGGCGGCAUGCCUAACACAUGCAAGUCGAACGUGAUCCAUGACUUCGGUUGUGGUGAAAGUGGCAAACGGGUGAGUAACGCGUGGGAAUCUGCCCAGAGGUAGGGAAUAACCGCGGGAAACUGCGGCUAAUACCCUAUGUGCCCUACGGGGCAAAGAUUUAUCGCCUUUGGAGGAGCCCGCGUCGGAUUAGGUAGUUGGUAGGGUAACGGCCUACCAAGCCUACGAUCCGUAGCUGGUCUGAGAGGAUGAUCAGCCACACUGGGACUGAGAUACGGCCCAGACUCCUACGGGAGGCAGCAGUGGGGAAUAUUGGACAAUGGGGGCAACCCUGAUCCAGCAAUGCCGCGUGAGUGAUGAAGGCCUUCGGGUUGUAAAGCUCUUUCGGGCGGGAAGAUGAUGACGGUACCCGCAGAAGAAGCCCGGCUAACUUCGUGCCAGCAGCCGC
RNAcentral lists this ribosomal RNA (457 nucleotides) under uncultured bacterium. Its description in RNAcentral is "SSU rRNA". It matches the Rfam family "Bacterial small subunit ribosomal RNA", at positions 26 to 518 of the family's 1533-position model. The record is from RNAcentral.